This 484-nucleotide ribosomal RNA is filed under the name uncultured bacterium. Its description in RNAcentral is "partial 16S ribosomal RNA". It matches the Rfam family "Bacterial small subunit ribosomal RNA", at positions 29 to 507 of the family's 1533-position model. The record is from RNAcentral.
AGUGAACGCUGGCGGCAGGCCUAACACAUGCAAGUCGAGCGGAUGAAGGGAGCUUGCUCCUGGAUUCAGCGGCGGACGGGUGAGUAAUGCCUAGGAAUCUGCCUGGUAGUGGGGGAUAACGUCCGGAAACGGGCGCUAAUACCGCAUACGUCCUGAGGGAGAAAGUGGGGGAUCUUCGGACCUCACGCUCUCAGAUGAGCCUAGGUCGGAUUAGCUAGUUGGUGGGGUAAAGGCCUACCAAGGCGACGAUCCGUAACUGGUCUGAGAGGAUGAUCAGUCACACUGGAACUGAGACACGGUCCAGACUCCUACGGGAGGCAGCAGUGGGGAAUAUUGGACAAUGGGCGAAAGCCUGAUCCAGCCAUGCCGCGUGUGUGAAGAAGGUCUUCGGAUUGUAAAGCACUUUAAGUUGGGAGGAAGGGCAGUAAGUUAAUACCUUGCUGUUUUGACGUUACCAAAAGAAUAAGCACCGGCUAACUUCGUG